UGCAAGAAGGAGCAUCUGGAACUACACCACUUGGACUCUCUUUUUCUGAAACAGCUGCUUUACAUCUAUAGCUGUGGGCAAGUUUGAGUACUGGUGCGGCUGUGUGCAUCAUGAUCGUCUUCAAGAUCAGAGACAUCUUCAAGUUCUUCUGGGGUCUGUGAAAAGAACAUGACAUUAUUCUUAUGCAUGAACUUUAAAGAUGUCACACACCUGUGACAGAUUACCAGAUUUCCGCCUGGACCUAAUGUAGGUGGUAUAUGGUCCCACUUCCGCAAUGAAUGCACAUAUAAGAAAAAUGUGAAUUCAAGAACAUGAGCUAUUAUUUCAGCCUAUUUAACUAGUUUUUGUGUAGCAUAUAAUUAUAUAACUGAACAUGCACAGCCAGACUGUUUUACCCCCAUAUUUUGCACUGAUCAUUCCUGAUUUUCUUGGAUGUUAUAUUUGUGACAGUUAUGCAUGGCUUACACAAUGCAGUGUUCCUAUCACAAUGCUAUCACAGAAUGGUUUGUGAUUAUUAAAAACAAAUGUUACAAAGUAACCUAUGAGACUUGUAAAAGGAGGCUGAUUUCACCACAUUAUCCUAAUAAUUUGUUAGGAUACAUAUUAGAGUUACGUGUGUGCAAAUGACCUCUCGCAAUUCUCCAGAGAAAUUGGGACCAUGUCAUCAGCUGGAGGUCAGGUGACCAGUGCUGCCUAAUCAUGUUGUCCACUUGUGUUUAAUAAUUCACUAACACUUCAAUAAUAUCUGCUGUCUUCUCUGCUAUAUCUCUGUACCAAAAGCACACAGCCUCAUCUUCCACUAAGGCGUGUGUGCUGCUAUUGUUGUUUUGACAUCUGAGCAGCUGAAAGUGUCCAUUAGCAUUCCAUAAAUCUUUAGUUGUUGAGGUUAGGCCUCAACUGAAGUUAGACUGCUUACAACCAAUAAAAAUUGGUAAUGAAAAACUGCUGGCUUUUGCCACUUUCUUUCACCUGUCCCACCCAUUUGCUCUAAUUUUGGGGUAUAUUUUGCAAAAACAUGGGAUGGUAUUCAACUUUUACUCAGAGUAGACCAAAUGAAAUUACUAGACCUCACUUAGUCAUUUUCAUUAAUGUUAUUUGGUCUACUCUUAAGUAAAAAUUUGUUGAAUACCACCCAUAGUUCAUCAGCUAGACACUUUGAUUUAGUCUGAUACCUCAUUUGUCUCUCUCAGACCAUAGCAAGUGUUCCAAAGCCUGACUUUGCAAACACAUAUUUUAGUUAUGCUCCUUAUUGCUUCAUAUUAAUUGCAUGUUAUUUGAUAUAGUCAGUUAAGUGACCCAACUCUUUUUUCCUGGGAUUAAAAGACACUUGCAUUUUCCAAGAAAGCUCCCUACAUUUUCAAGUUAGAAUUCAAAUGCCAGACCUCUAUGAUGAGAACGUCUGUGUAGGUCUGCCUCUAAUCAUUUAUUUAUCCGCAUAUUUUGAGUUGUGCAUUACCAAACACUCACCCCUAUUUGCAUAGAAACAGACUGCAUUUAUUCAAAUUGCUUUUAAAGAUGAAUAUAACUUUAUAUUGAAAGAGUGAUUGCUCAUAAAGAUUGUAUGUGCUGAAUUCUGAGCUAACAAGGAAUUGGGUUUGACUACAA
Long non-coding RNA from Podarcis raffonei (Aeolian wall lizard), 1605 nucleotides. RefSeq lists it as uncharacterized. The transcript has 2 exons. The record is from RefSeq and is a predicted model, not a curated record. NCBI's taxonomy places the organism in Eukaryota, Metazoa, Chordata, Lepidosauria, Squamata, Lacertidae.